AGUGGCGCACGGGUGAGUAACGCGUGGGUAAUCUACCCCCGAAUCUGGAAUAACUCCGCGAAAGCGGGGCUAAUACCGGAUGACAUCCGCGGGUCUUCGGACCUUCGGAUCAAAGACGGCCUCUUCACGAAAGCCGUCGUUUGGGGAUGAGCCCGCGUACCAUUAGCUUGUUGGCGGGGUAACGGCCCACCAAGGCCACGAUGGUUAGCUGGUCUGAGAGGAUGAUCAGCCACACUGGAACUGACACACGGUCCAGACUCCUACGGGAGGCAGCAGUGAGGAAUUUUGCGCAAUGGGGGAAACCCUGACGCAGCAACGCCGCGUGAGUGACGAAGGCCCUCGGGUCGUAAAGCUCUGUCGGGCGGGAAGAAACCGUUCCGGGUCAACAUCCCGGAGCGCUGACGGUACCGCCGGAGGAAGCACCGGCUAACUCCGUGCCAGCAGCCGCGGUAAUACGGAGGGUGCAAGCGUUAUUCGGAAUUAUUGGGCGUAAAGAGCGCGUAGGCGGCCGAGUAGGUCAGAUGUGAAAUCCCGGGGCUCAACCCCGGAAGUGCAUUUGAUACCGCUUGGCUUGAGUAUGGGAGAGGGAAGCGGAAUUCCUGGUGUAGCGGUGAAAUGCGUAGAUAUCAGGAGGAACACCGGUGGCGAAGGCGGCUUCCUGGACCAAUACUGACGCUGAGGCGCGAAGGCGUGGGGAGCAAACAGGAUUAGAUACCCU
Molecule: ribosomal RNA, 718 nt
Filed under: uncultured bacterium
Lineage: Bacteria
Description: bacterial SSU rRNA
Rfam family: Bacterial small subunit ribosomal RNA
Source: RNAcentral